RNAcentral lists this unclassified non-coding RNA (429 nucleotides) under Hevea brasiliensis (rubber tree). Lineage: Eukaryota; Viridiplantae; Streptophyta; Magnoliopsida; Malpighiales; Euphorbiaceae. The record is from RNAcentral.
CUUAGCUCGAAUAACCAGUUGCAGGCCUAGGCAGCCUCAGUGGAAGAGAAGUGAAGAUGGGUUGAGAAGUGAAGAGUCUGAUUCACCUGGUGAUUCUUUAAGAGACAUUCAAGAUUUAUCUUUGAAGCUUUCAUUGGAUGGAGACAAAAAUGAAAGUGGAACUCUUGAUAAUUCUCCAGAUAUUGAGGAAAAUGCUGCAGAUGGGAAGGACAUGUUAGGCAGAAAUGUUUUGACAUUGUCAAAAGGUGCUAUAAGAGGUGCACAGAAUGAAUCAACAGAGAAAGUGGACAAAAAUGUUAGCAGUAGCAAAUUUUCAUCGCUGAGGAAGAGGAAACACAUUUUUGUUAUUGCAGUAGAUGGUGAUACAACGUCAGAUUUUCUUGAAACUGUUAAGAUUGUUGUUGAGGUAUCAAUGAAGGAAAACUCAAU